This 253-nucleotide ribosomal RNA is filed under the name uncultured bacterium. Its description in RNAcentral is "partial 16S ribosomal RNA". It matches the Rfam family "Bacterial small subunit ribosomal RNA", at positions 524 to 776 of the family's 1533-position model. The record is from RNAcentral.
UACGUAGGGGGCUAGCGUUGUCCGGAUUUAUUGGGCGUAAAGAGCGUGUAGGCGGCCAGGUAGGUCUGCUGUGAAAACUCGAGGCUCAACCUCGAGCUGUCGGCGGAAACCAUCUGGCUAGAGUCCGGAAGAGGAGAGUGGAAUUCCUGGUGUAGCGGUGAAAUGCGCAGAUAUCGGGAGGAACACCAAUGGCGAAAGCAGGUAACUGGACUAUUACUGACACUCAACUGCGAAAGCUAGGGGAGCAAACAGG